Molecule: non-coding RNA, 205 nt
Organism: Pelobates cultripes (western spadefoot toad)
Lineage: Eukaryota; Metazoa; Chordata; Amphibia; Anura; Pelobatidae
Source: the annotation of a GenBank genome assembly
CUUUGUUAUAGGUUAUAUAGUUGUAUAUACACAUGGUUUGAACAGGUUUAUAGAAAUAUUAAGAGUUCUGCAAGAUAUAAGGGUUAGUCAUGAAUGACAGGAAUAAAAUAAAAUUAAAUUCCUCAUUAGGGUGCUAAUCUAUGGAACAAGUGUAUCCAUUGCGAUUCUUGUUUCAGCAAUUUUAAAUUAAAAUUGCCCUUCCUGG